This is an RNA transcript of Colius striatus (speckled mousebird), 1230 nucleotides long. It is a transcript of the gene named mucin-1-like, with no coding region annotated. The transcript is spliced from 3 exons. The record is from RefSeq and is a predicted model, not a curated record. NCBI's taxonomy places the organism in Eukaryota, Metazoa, Chordata, Aves, Coliiformes, Coliidae.
CCCACCGGGGAGUCCCACCCCACGGCGGCACCGGGGGAGGGGACUGCGGGUGCGGGGAAAGCGGCUGUCAACGCCUGCCCCUCGGCCCCGCACCCCCUCUUUCCAUCACCCCCCUUCCCCUGCCCGCAUCCCUUCUUAUACCUUCCUCUCCCCAUAGUCCCUCCUCCGGCACCCCCCGGCCCCCAUGCCGCCCUCCCCCCGGCGCACACACGCACGGACGAGCUGCCAGCCCCAGACCCCGCUGUCCCGCCGGGACGUGCCCGGCCGCUCCCUCCCCCUAGUCCCGGCCCCCCCCCGCCCACAGCACCGCCCGGCCCGGCCCCGGGGGUCUGCGCCCGCAGCCGCUAGCGCGGGCCGGGGUAAAGAGAGGACCAGGGGCCAGAGCAGGAAAAGGUCUUGGGUAUAGGUCUUCCUAAGGGUCAUUCAAGAAAGCACAUACUAAACGUACCACACCAGAAGGAGAUAACCUCAAGACCAGCCUGAGUAUAUCCGAAGAGAUGAUCCUGACACAGCUUUCCCUGCUGCAAAAUACUCAGAAAACUAAAUGGUGAGGUCUGGAGACCACACUAAGAGGUUUUAAAACUGUAACAGGAUUAAAAAUGGCAUAUGGUCAAAGUCCUUAAAUAAAAGGAAAGUACAAGAAAGUAUCUAAAAGCUACAGUGAGACUUACUUGAAUAAACGUUUAUAAAUUUUAUCAAACAACUCGUCAUUUUGACAGUUUUCCAUAAACCCCUGGAACAUACAAAGCAUUUAAUUUAUUUGUGGCAAGAUAAAGAUAAUGAGUAACAUUUUUAAAGUUUAUUAACAUAGAAUGUCCUGGCCCAGCCAAACUUGCAUACUUCCAUUGUUUAAAUUAUAUUUUCUAAGAACACACACCAAAAAAAAAAGUUAGCCUUACAUAAGGGAGUUUCUCAUUUCAAAAGUCUUCAAAAUGAUCCUCAUCAUCUGUAUUCCUACAAACACAAACCAAAUGAACAGAGCAUAAACUAAACUGCAUAUAAAUGCCACCAGUACCUCAAACUGAAAAAUACUUGUAUGCGACAUAAAAUGUCACUCCAAUAGGGAGACUGCUGUAGCAGUUUGUAUCAAAUAUGCUAAAAUAACCAAAAAAAAAGGAAAUUGUAACAAAUGCUGAUGCUGUCUUAACUACAGGAUUCCCAGCAGAAGCUAUCCAAGAGGCCACAGGCCAAAGAAACAGAGUGAAGUGGCAUAUGCUCGUAUUCCUUUUU